RNAcentral lists this ribosomal RNA (476 nucleotides) under uncultured bacterium. RNAcentral describes it as "bacterial SSU rRNA". It matches the Rfam family "Bacterial small subunit ribosomal RNA", at positions 28 to 507 of the family's 1533-position model. The record is from RNAcentral.
GAUGAACGCUGGCGGCGUGCCUAACACAUGCAAGUCGAGCGAGAAUUUACAAAAUGAAGCUUCGGCAGNUUUUAGUAAGGAAGGCGGCGGACGGGUGAGUAACGCGUGAGUAACCUGCCUUAGGUGGGGGAUAACACAUCGAAAGGUGUGCUAAUACCGCAUAACAUAUGUUUACCGCAUGAUAGACAUAUCAAAGAUUUAUUGCCUAAGGAUGGACUCGCGUCUGAUUAGAUAGUUGGUGAGGUAACGGCUCACCAAGUCGACGAUCAGUAGCCGAACUGAGAGGUUGAUCGGCCACAUUGGGACUGAGACACGGCCCAGACUCCUACGGGAGGCAGCAGUGGGGAAUAUUGCGCAAUGGGGGAAACCCUGACGCAGCAACGCCGCGUGAAGGAUGAAGGUCUUCGGAUUGUAAACUUUUGUCUUAUGGGACGAAAAGGACGGUACCAUAGGAGGAAGCCACGGCUAACUACGUG